GACGAACGCUGGCGGCGUGCUUAACACAUGCAAGUCGAACGGAAAGGCCCUGCUUUUGUGGGGUGCUCGAGUGGCGAACGGGUGAGUAACACGUGAGUAACCAGCCCUUGAUUUUGGGAUAACUUCAGGAAACUGGGGCUAAUAACGGACAGGAGCUCCUGCUUCAUGGUGGGGGGUGGAAAGUUUCGGCGGUUGGGGAUGGACUCGCGCCUUAUCAGCUUGUUGGUGGGGUGCUGGCUUUCCAAGGCUUGGACGGGUAGCCGGCCUGAGAUGGUCACCGGCCACAAUGGGACUGGAAUACGGCACAGACUCCUACGGUAGGCAGCAGAGGGGUAUAUUGCACAAUGCGCUGAAGCCUGAUGCAGUACCGCCGCGCGCGGUAUGACGGCCUUCGGGUUGUAACCCGAAUUCGCCUGUGACGAAGCGUGAGUGACGGUACUGGGUAAAGAAGCACCGGCUAACUACGUG
RNAcentral lists this ribosomal RNA (468 nucleotides) under uncultured bacterium. RNAcentral describes it as "partial 16S ribosomal RNA". It matches the Rfam family "Bacterial small subunit ribosomal RNA", at positions 28 to 507 of the family's 1533-position model. The record is from RNAcentral.